This 74-nucleotide transfer RNA is filed under the name Elusimicrobia bacterium RIFOXYD2_FULL_34_15. Its description in RNAcentral is "tRNA-Val". It matches the Rfam family "tRNA". Rfam says of the family: Transfer RNA (tRNA) molecules are approximately 80 nucleotides in length. Their secondary structure includes four short double-helical elements and three loops (D, anti-codon, and T loops). RNAcentral also lists the same sequence under 1 other name. The record is from RNAcentral. Lineage: Bacteria; Pseudomonadati; Elusimicrobiota.
GGGCGGUUAGCUCAGUUGGUUAGAGUACUUGCUCGACACGCAAGGGGUCACAGGUUCGAAUCCUGUACCGCCCA